GACGAACGCUGGCGGCGUGCUUAACACAUGCAAGUCGAGCGGAGCGGAGAACGGGUGAGUAGCGCGUGAGUAACUGCACCCCUCUCAGGGAUGACAGGUGGAAACGGCUACUAAUACCGGAUAGUGGGGGAUGGCUCGCGUCCUAUAAGCUUGUUGGGGGGGUAGUGGCCUACCAAGGCGACGACGGGUAGCCGGCCUGAGAGGGCGGACGGCCAAAUUGGGCUGAGAUACGGCGCAAACUCCUACGGGAGGCAGCAGGGGGGAAUAUUGCACAAUGGUGGAAACCCGGAUGCAGAAACGCCGCGGGCGGGAUGACGGCCUUCGGGUUGUAACCCGAUUUAAGCCAUGACGCGGUAUUGGCAGAAGAAGCACCGGCUAACUACGUGCCAGCAGCCGCGGUAAUUC
RNAcentral lists this ribosomal RNA (405 nucleotides) under uncultured bacterium. Its description in RNAcentral is "partial 16S ribosomal RNA". It matches the Rfam family "Bacterial small subunit ribosomal RNA", at positions 28 to 526 of the family's 1533-position model. The record is from RNAcentral.